CGAAGUAUAGCAUAUAUAAUGCCCUUUACUUACACUAAAACCAAAACACUAGUUUACUUCGC
Molecule: transfer RNA, 62 nt
Filed under: Eisenia nordenskioldi pallida
Lineage: Eukaryota; Metazoa; Annelida; Clitellata; Crassiclitellata; Lumbricidae
Description: tRNA-Val
Source: RNAcentral